This 460-nucleotide ribosomal RNA is filed under the name uncultured bacterium. RNAcentral describes it as "partial 16S ribosomal RNA". It matches the Rfam family "Bacterial small subunit ribosomal RNA", at positions 338 to 795 of the family's 1533-position model. The record is from RNAcentral.
CCUACGGGAGGCAGCAGUGAGGAAUAUUGGUCAAUGGACGAGAGUCUGAACCAGCCAAGUAGCGUGAAGGAUGACUGCCCUAUGGGUUGUAAACUUCUUUUAUAAAGGAAUAAAACGAGGCACGUGUGCCGUUUUGCAUGUACUUUAUGAAUAAGGAUCGGCUAACUCCGUGCCAGCAGCCGCGGUAAUACGGAGGAUCCGAGCGUUAUCCGGAUUUAUUGGGUUUAAAGGGAGCGUAGAUGGGUUGUUAAGUCAGUUGUGAAAGUUUGCGGCUCAACCGUAAAAUUGCAAUUGAAACUGGCAGUCUUGAGUGCAGGUGAGGUAGGCGGAAUUCGUGGUGUAGCGGUGAAAUGCGUAGAUAUCACGAAGAACCCCGAUUGCGAAGGCAGCUUACUGAACUGUGACUGACAUUGAGGCUCGAAAGUGUGGGUAUCAAACAGGAUUAGAUACCCGAGUAGUC